GGCGAACGGGUGAGUAACACGUGGGUAAUCUACCUAUGAGACGGGGAUAGCCCCGGGAAACUGGGGUUAAUACCGGAUGUGAUCCUUGGGGCGCAUGUUCCGAGGAGGAAAGGGUGCAAACCGCUCAUAGAUGAGCCCGCGGCCCAUUAGCUAGUUGGCAGGGUAAGAGCCUACCAAGGCGACGAUGGGUAGCCGGUCUGAGAGGAUGGCCGGCCACACUGGGACUGAGACACGGCCCAGACUCCUACGGGAGGCAGCAGCAAGGAAUUUUGGGCAAUGGGGGAAACCCUGACCCAGCGACGCCGCGUGAGCGAAGAAGGCCUUCGGGUCGUAAAGCUCUGUCUUUGGGGACGAAUGGGACGGUACCCAAAGAGGAAGCCCCGGCUAACUACGUGCCAGCAGCCGCGGUAAUACGUAGGGGGCGAGCGUUGUCCGGAAUUAUUGGGCGUAAAGGGCGAGUAGGCGGCUUUGCAGGUCGGGUGUGAAAAACUGAGGCUCAACCUCGGGAAUGCA
This 513-nucleotide ribosomal RNA is filed under the name uncultured Bacillota bacterium. RNAcentral's name for it is "bacterial SSU rRNA". It matches the Rfam family "Bacterial small subunit ribosomal RNA", at positions 97 to 625 of the family's 1533-position model. The record is from RNAcentral. Lineage: Bacteria; Bacillati; Bacillota.